AUAGUCGCGACGUAGUUGAUCAGUGGCNCAGGACACGCUGGCGGCGUGCCUAACACAUGCAAGUCGAACGGAGUUAAGACUUCGGUUUUAACUUAGUGGGCGAACGGGUGAGUAACGCGUGAGAAACCUGCCUUUCAGUGGGGGACAACAGUUGGAAACGACUGCUAAUACCGCAUAAUGUAUCGAGGGGGCAUCCUCUUGAUACCAAAGAUUUAUUGCUGAAAGAUGGUCUCGCGUCUGAUUAGCUAGAUGGCGGGGUAACGGCCCACCAUGGCGACGAUCAGUAGCCGGUCUGAGAGGAUGAACGGCCACAUUGGGACUGAGAUACGGCCCAGACUCCUACGGGAGGCAGCAGUGGGGAAUAUUGGGCAAUGGGGGAAACCCUGACCCAGCAACGCCGCGUGAAGGAAGAAGGCCUUCGGGUUGUAAACUUCUUUUAGCAGGGACGAAGGACGUGACGGUACCUGCAGAAAAAGCAACGGCUAACUACGUG
RNAcentral lists this ribosomal RNA (493 nucleotides) under uncultured bacterium. RNAcentral's name for it is "bacterial SSU rRNA". It matches the Rfam family "Bacterial small subunit ribosomal RNA", at positions 1 to 507 of the family's 1533-position model. The record is from RNAcentral.